GAAUCUUGCGCAAUGGGCGAAAGCCUGACGCAGCAACGCCGCGUGAAGGAUGAAGGCCUUCGGGUCGUAAACUUCUGUCGGGCGGAACGAACCUCCCUGGGGUGAACAAUCCCGGGGACUGACGGUACCGCCAAAGGAAGCACCGGCCAACUCUGUGCCAGCAGCCGCGGUAAUACAGAGGGUGCGAGCGUUGUUCGGAAUUACUGGGCGUAAAGCGCGUGUAGGCGGCCUGGCAAGUCGGAUGUGAAAGCCCUGGGCUUAACCCAGGAAGUGCAUUCGAAACUGCCAGGCUCGAGUACGGGAGAGGGAGGUGGAAUUCCCAGUGUAGAGGUGAAAUUCGUAGAUAUUGGGAGGAACACCGGUGGCGAAAGCGACCUCCUGGACCGAUACUGACGCUGAGACGCGAAAGCGUGGGGAGCAAACAG
This 425-nucleotide ribosomal RNA is filed under the name uncultured bacterium. Its description in RNAcentral is "bacterial SSU rRNA". It matches the Rfam family "Bacterial small subunit ribosomal RNA", at positions 359 to 775 of the family's 1533-position model. The record is from RNAcentral.